CAAUAACAUCACAAAUAUUUUGGCUUGUCAAAUGUAACAAUCGACAUCAAUGAUGAAGAAAUCAUAUUGUUGGAUGGUUUAAUUUGAACUUUCAUUUAUAGAAAAGGUCAUAUCGCCCACAUAAACAUAUGGGAGUUGUAACAUUGAGUCCUGAGGGGUUUGUGCAGACAACUCUCUUAAGUCAGGAGUGCAGUCAAAACUUACUGAGCUGCAUGGCCAACUUCAAGAACUCCGGAGGGCGAAUGUUUGAAGGAAGUAAGCGCUAAGUUGAGGAUGUCAUCGACAUCCUCUCUCUUGUCACGGAAGCUGCUUUGCUUGCCGGAAUAUACCUCCACAAGCCCUGAAUCUCUUUCCUUGUUCAAUGGACAUAUCAACUCGGAUCCCUCCACCUCACUUCGCGAUCACCCCUCUCUUUCAACUUUUGUGCUCUGUCUUUGUCUGUUCUCGUUCUGUUGCAACAAAUGGGAAAAAGAGUAGAGAGUAUUGAAGGUGCCUUUGUUUUCCUUUCCUGUAGAAUUGGAAGAUUAAUGGAAACUGACAAGGGACUUCAAUUAUAACUGCAGAAACAAGAACAUGAAGUGGCCAGAGAGUUCAAAACACAAGAUCCACGUACAAAUAUAGAACGCCAAAUAUUGUGAAUUGAACAUAUUACCCUAUACUUCCAUACUUAAAUUAAUUAAUGUUAACAUUAUCCUGAUGAGGGGGAACGGACUUGAUUUUACCAUAAGGGCGACCAAGAAAGACAUUUGAAUCGUUGACAAACAACUGUGACCUUUAGUGAGCAUCCGUAGUAGCUAUUAAAAGAAUUAUGGUUGAGACUCACAUAUGUGUCCUCUGUUUCUAAUGUUAGGAUGUUCAAUCUUCGGCAUUAGGAAUCACGUAAUUAUGGUUGAUAUUUUCCUCAAGUUCAUAAAAACCCAACUGAAGAGACAUGGAACAUGUGAUGUGUAAUUUGCCUACAUUAGCCGUUACUUAAGUGGGGCCUAGAUCCCAACUCCCAUCUCUCUCUUGUGCAAAGGAGAAGAAGAUGAUGACGAUGAUGCAAUCAAUUGGGGUAGGGGCAAUAAGAACAGAAACUGAAACAAACGCUUUUUCUUGUUGCGACUCAUGAAGUUGUUAUGUCAAAGGUUUGGCGGUUUCACGGUUCCUUGCCCCCAACAACCCCUCCUUUCCCUCGACGGUUAACAACCUUUUCCUUAAAUCCUUCCCCCCACCGCAUCCCUCUCCCCAUCCUUGCCAUCCAUAUAUGCUAACUUGGUUCGGUCAUUUCAACGAACACAUGAUAAGCAGCAAGUUGGGAUUAGUAACAGCGCAUCAAAGUCCAGAGGUGCCCCAACUCUCAAAAUAGGAAAUUGCACACCGUCAUCCACGGUUAGGCUUUGUGCUCAAGCAUGCGAUCCAAGUCGAAAAGACGUAAAAAAACAAACAACUGAAAACGGGAAAAAAAUCAUCAGCGCAAGCCGACGCACGCAACAAAGCAUCAGAUUGGAACUAACGACUAAGCACAAAUCAGCAAUUCCAGCGACCGUGAAUGUCACGACAGACGGCAAAAGACAGAAAAAGGCAAACCUGAAGCACGGCAUCUCUAGUCCCCAGCCACCGGAGCCAGGCAAAAAAAUGCACUCAACGACAGGGGAGGGGAGAAAAACCACGAGAAAUGAAGGAGAAACCGUACGAACCGUGAGAAACGCUGGACCCACUCGGCGAUUUGCGGUACCCGUAGGAGCUCCUCCGCCAGCCGCAGUCCAAGACCUCCCUCCUUCCUCACCGGGAACACCGGGCUUCGGGAGCGAGGGGGAGAGAGGAGAGACGAACUGCAGAGGAUGAGCAAAAGAAAAGCGCAGUCGAGCAAGAAGAGGUUGUCGCGAGGGAGAGAGCGACGGAAGGGUCAGAGCAAUCGAGCAAGAAGAGGUUUCGCGAGGGAGAGAGCGA
This 1932-nucleotide long non-coding RNA is filed under the name Eucalyptus grandis. Its description in RNAcentral is "long non-coding RNA (EGRA_LNC004449)". Lineage: Eukaryota; Viridiplantae; Streptophyta; Magnoliopsida; Myrtales; Myrtaceae. The record is from RNAcentral.